This 497-nucleotide ribosomal RNA is filed under the name uncultured bacterium. RNAcentral's name for it is "partial 16S ribosomal RNA". It matches the Rfam family "Bacterial small subunit ribosomal RNA", at positions 28 to 507 of the family's 1533-position model. The record is from RNAcentral.
GAUGAACGCUGGCGGCGUGCCUAAUACAUGCAAGUCGAGCGAACGGACGAGAAGCUUGCUUCUCUGAUGUUAGCGGCGGACGGGUGAGUAACACGUGGAUAACCUACCUAUAAGACUGGGAUAACUUCGGGAAACCGUAGCUAAUACCGGAUAAUAUUUUGAACCGCAUGGUUCAAAAGUGAAAGACGGUCUUGCUGUCACUUAUAGAUGGAUCCGCGCUGCAUUAGCUAGUUGGUAAGGUAACGGCUUACCAAGGCAACGAUGCAUAGCCGACCUGAGAGGGUGAUCGGCCACACUGGAACUGAGACACGGUCCAGACUCCUACGGGAGGCAGCAGUAGGGAAUCUUCCGCAAUGGGCGAAAGCCUGACGGAGCAACGCCGCGUGAGUGAUGAAGGUCUUCGGAUCGUAAAACUCUGUUAUUAGGGAAGAACAUAUGCGUAAGUAACUGUGCACAUCCUGACGGUACCUAAUCAGAAAGCCACGGCUAACUACGUG